UGGUCACCCAGGCACCCACACGCAGCCGAUGGUGGUGUGCCACCGGCGAAGAGAUUCGGUGCCCCCUCCGUCCCCAGCACGGUGGCGCCCUGCAGCUGCAGUUGCAAGGGUUCACCUCUUCUCCCCAGUCCCCAUUCAUCUCUAUCAGUGCCAGAUGCCCAGGUCAGGUGCUAGCAAUGUUGUACGUGUCCUUAGCAACAGGGCGAGUUAUGAUCAAAUAUUCGUAGAAGAAGGAUGAAUUGUACUUUGUACACCCAAGUUAUUAAGUCUAGCUGAUCGAUCUUGACGAAGUCGACGACAAACUUGAGUUUCGCAGAUGCAAAAGGUACAUCAAGAUUCAAGACUGUGGUACUCUACUCUGAGAUAAGUGUCAUUCUGCACUCAGCGCUAAGCACCCUGCAGUCCUGCACUCACCGCAUGAAGAGCAACUGCAGACAGACUGAAAAUUGAAAUGCGCGACCAUUCGCUUUGCCGUAAGGCAGAAUUUGAGGCACUUUUGCUCAAAAAAAAAAAUGCAUCGACUGACUACAACGAGCAGAAUCCUCUAGUGUUGUUCGGUUCCUCUUUACACCGCAGGCGCGCGCAUACACCUGGCAGGAGGCGGGAGGGCAAGAAGAAACGACGCACGCGGUUCAGGUGAUGAAGCUAGCUAAUGGUGGCAGAGCGGAGACAGGUCCCAGAGCGAGUCGCAGGCGGAGGCGUCGAGCACCCGGUCGAAGUACUCCUGCAGGCCGUUCAUGGCGUACAGCGACGCCGAGAUGCGCCGCUCCACCUUGAUCCGCUCGAACUCGGCCAUCUCGGCGCCCGGUUCCUCCGUGGUGCCAGCAGCUGGGACGGCGCUGUCGACGGCCGCGAAGCUGUCCAGCGCCGGGAACGCCGAGUCGAACAUCCAAGAGUCGAACUCCUCCUCGGUGCCCGCGGUGGCGAACCCCGGCCGGUACACCUCGCCGGCGUCCAGUGCGCCGGUGCCGCCGCCCUGCGUGGCCAUGUCGUCGUCGCAGCUGACUGCGCUGCUGGAGCUGGAGCUGCUGCUGCUGCUGGUGGUGGUGGUGGUGAUGCUAGAGCCACCACCACGAGCACUAUUCGUGCUAUGACUAUUGCUGUUGCUGUUGCUUGUGGUGGAUGCAGGGGAGCUCGACGACGCCUGCUGCUUGGCGGCUGCGGCGGCGGCCUUGGCCUUCUUGAUCUUCUUGUGGUGGAGGAGUCCGCGGAUGCGGACGGCGAGCGGGCAGUCGGGAGAGAUGCGCGGCGCGAAGUUGGUGCGGGCGUCGGUGCCGCGGAGGAGGCGGGCGGCCUCGUCGUAGGCCUUGGCCGCGGCCUCGGCGGUCUCGAAGGUGCCGAGCCACAUGCGGAUCUUCUGCGUGGUGUCCUUGAUCUCCGCCACCCACCGGCCCGACGGGCGCUGCCGGACGCCGACGAACUUGCUGUGGUUGUUGCUGCCCUUCUUCCGGCCCCGUGGCUUGGACGGCUUGGCCUGAGCCGCCGCCUCUUGCUGCUGGUAGUAGUAGUAGCUGCUGCUGCUGCUGUAGUUCUCGAGCUGGAACACUGGUGGCUGCGCUUGGAAGUGGAGCUCCAUGUGAGCUUCCUUGGCUUUGAGCAGCUGGUUGGAGCGGUUGGAAAGGAGGAGGAAGACAGGUGUCGAUGCUUG
RNAcentral lists this unclassified non-coding RNA (1648 nucleotides) under Zea mays. Its description in RNAcentral is "misc RNA Zm00001eb325240". The record is from RNAcentral. Lineage: Eukaryota; Viridiplantae; Streptophyta; Magnoliopsida; Poales; Poaceae.